CAAGACCUUGCGCUUUUGGAGCGGCCGAUGUCUGAUUAGCUAGUUGGUGAGGUAAAGGCUUACCAAGGCUUCGAUCAGUAGCUGGUCUGAGAGGACGACCAGCCACACUGGGACUGAGACACGGCCCAGACUCCUACGGGAGGCAGCAGUGGGGAAUUUUGGACAAUGGGGGAAACCCUGAUCCAGCCAUGCCGCGUGAGUGAAGAAGGCCUUCGGGUUGUAAAGCUCUUUCAGCCGGAACGAAACGGUCACGGCUAAUACCUGUGAUCACUGACGGUACCGGAAGAAGAAGCACCGGCUAACUACGUGCCAGCAGCCGCGGUAAUACGUAGGGUGCGAGCGUUAAUCGGAAUUACUGGGCGUAAAGCGUGCGCAGGCGGUUUUGUAAGUCAGAUGUGAAAUCCCCGGGCUUAACCUGGGAACUGCGUUUGAAACUACAAAGCUANGAUCGAUGGAGAAAAGCAAGGGAUCGGUAG
RNAcentral lists this ribosomal RNA (476 nucleotides) under uncultured Nitrosospira sp. RNAcentral describes it as "bacterial SSU rRNA". It matches the Rfam family "Bacterial small subunit ribosomal RNA", at positions 207 to 673 of the family's 1533-position model. Lineage: Bacteria; Pseudomonadati; Pseudomonadota; Betaproteobacteria; Nitrosomonadales; Nitrosomonadaceae. The record is from RNAcentral.